RNAcentral lists this ribosomal RNA (494 nucleotides) under uncultured bacterium. RNAcentral's name for it is "partial 16S ribosomal RNA". It matches the Rfam family "Bacterial small subunit ribosomal RNA", at positions 28 to 523 of the family's 1533-position model. The record is from RNAcentral.
GAUGAACGCUAGCGGCAGGCCUAACACAUGCAAGUCGAGGGGUAUCCCGCUUUCGGGCGGGAGAGACCGGCGCACGGGUGCGUAACGCGUAUGCAUCCUACCCUGUACUGGGGGAUAGCCCGGAGAAAUUCGGAUUAACACCCCAUAGUACUAAUGAAUGGCAUCAUUUAUUAGUUAAAGGUUACGGUACAGGAUGGGCAUGCGUCCUAUUAGCUAGAUGGUAAGGUAACGGCUUACCAUGGCUACGAUAGGUAGGGGGCCUGAGAGGGUGGUCCCCCACACUGGUACUGAGACACGGACCAGACUCCUACGGGAGGCAGCAGUGAGGAAUAUUGGUCAAUGGGCGCAAGCCUGAACCAGCCAUGCCGCGUGCAGGAAGACGGUCCUAUGGAUUGUAAACUGCUUUUAUUUGGGAAUAAACCUCUUUACGUGUAGAGAGCUGAAGGUACCAAAUGAAUAAGCACCGGCUAACUCCGUGCCAGCAGCCGCGGUAA